GAUGAACGCUGGCGGCGUGCCUAAUACAUGCAAGUCGAGCGAACGGACGAGAAGCUUGCUUCUCUGAUGUUAGCGGCGGACGGGUGAGUAACACGUGGAUAACCUACCUAUAAGACUGGGAUAACUUCGGGAAACCGGAGCUAAUACCGGAUAAUAUUUUGAACCGCAUGGUUCAAAAGUGAAAGACGGUCUUGCUGUCACUUAUAGAUGGAUCCGCGCUGCAUUAGCUAGUUGGUAAGGUAACGGCUUACCAAGGCAACGAUGCAUAGCCGACCUGAGAGGGGGGUCGGCCCACCUGGAACCGGGACACGGUCCAGACUCCUACGGGAGGCAGCAGUAGGGGAUCUUCCGCAAUGGGCGAAAGCCUGACGGAGCAACGGCGCGUGAGGGAUGAAGGUCUUCGGAUCGUAAAACUCUGUUAUUAGGGAAGAACAUAUGUGUAAGUAACUGUGCACAUCUUGACGGUACCUAAUCAGAAAGCCACGGCUAACUACGUG
This 497-nucleotide ribosomal RNA is filed under the name uncultured bacterium. RNAcentral's name for it is "partial 16S ribosomal RNA". It matches the Rfam family "Bacterial small subunit ribosomal RNA", at positions 28 to 507 of the family's 1533-position model. The record is from RNAcentral.